CCUACGGGAGGCAGCAGUGGGGAAUAUUGCACAAUGGGGGAAACCCUGAAGCAGCGACGCCGCGUGAGUGAAGACGUAUUUCGGUACGUAAAGCCCCAUCAGUCGGGAAGAAAAUGACGGUACCUGACUAAGACGCCGCGGCUAACUACGUGCAAGCAGCCGCGGCAAUACGUGGGGGGCAAGCGUUAUCCGGAUUUACUGGGUGUAAAGGGAGCGUAGACGGCAGCGCAAGUCUGGAGUGAAAUCCCAUGGCUUAACCAUGGAACUGCUUUGGAAACUGUGCAGCUAGAGUGAAGGAGAGGUAAGCGGAAUUCGUGGUGUAGCGGUGAAAUGCGUAGAUAUUAGGAGGAACACCAGUGGCGAAGGCGGCUUACUGGACUGUAACUGACGUUGAGGCUCGAAAGCGUGGGGAGCAAACAGGAUUAGAUACCCUUGUAGUC
This 440-nucleotide ribosomal RNA is filed under the name uncultured bacterium. RNAcentral describes it as "partial 16S ribosomal RNA". It matches the Rfam family "Bacterial small subunit ribosomal RNA", at positions 338 to 795 of the family's 1533-position model. The record is from RNAcentral.